UUUUAUGGAGAGUUUGAUCCUGGCUCAGAGUGAACGCUGGCGGCGUGCCUAAUACAUGCAAGUCGAACGAUGAAGCAACUAGCUUGCUAGUUGUGGAUUAGUGGCGCACGGGUGAGUAAGGUAUAGUUAAUCUGCCCUACACAAGAGGACAACAGUUGGAAACG
RNAcentral lists this ribosomal RNA (164 nucleotides) under Campylobacter lari. RNAcentral's name for it is "partial 16S ribosomal RNA". It matches the Rfam family "Bacterial small subunit ribosomal RNA", at positions 1 to 158 of the family's 1533-position model. The record is from RNAcentral. Lineage: Bacteria; Pseudomonadati; Campylobacterota; Epsilonproteobacteria; Campylobacterales; Campylobacteraceae.